This 230-nucleotide long non-coding RNA is filed under the name Marmota monax (woodchuck). The record is from RNAcentral. Lineage: Eukaryota; Metazoa; Chordata; Mammalia; Rodentia; Sciuridae.
CGUGAGAACUCAAGGGGAACUCAGGCAGCAGGAUACACCCUAUUCCCAGCAGGAAUAAUCUUAAACCUGGAACGCCCUAAACCCGAUUAUCCUAAACCGGGAACACCCUAAUCCCGGAUCCGCCCUGGUCCUUGAGCAAGGUCACCUACAUGCAAUGUCACUGCAAAAUGUCCUAUUUCCACGAGUCCUUCCACUAAGCAACAUGGGGUACGCUGGCAAGGAAAUUGUCA